UCAUCCUGUCCUCACAAUGGCUGGUGUGGAGACCCACAGACUUCAUCCUUAGGACGGACCUUCAGGCACCCAGGCUGCCUACUGACCUCCCUGGCAUGGGUGGGAACCGGGAGCUCGUUGGUAAGCAGGAGGAUUCAGGACUAUCGACUGAACCCCACCUCCUCUGUGGCACGCACCGUGCUGUGUCUUUGCAGUCAUCAUCUCAUCACCUCUGCACAGGAAGAUUAUCUCCCCCAUUUUGUGAUGAGGAAAUGGAGGCUCCAGGUGGAAAGAUGCAACCUGGGCCAGAGGCCCCUGGAGGUUGUGCCUGAACCCAGACAGAUCACACAAACCUGAGCAGCCAUUAGCCGCUGUGUGGGCUCCUUUGCACUGUGGGGCUGCUCCUGGGGAUAUUUACGUUGUGAACUGGUAAAAUCUGAACUGCAGAAUAUCAAUUUCCAGACAUUCUUCCUAGAUGAUGCCGUCUGCCACGGGUCCCUUCCUCUCUCCAGCUGUCUGGAAUGGAGCUACCAUGUCUGGUGCCCAAGCAGCCAGCUCUGACCCAGAGUUAACAUAUUAUGGAUUGUGGAGCCACAGGAUGGAGUAGCCUGGGUCUGAUGGUUCUGUUAGUCAAGGCUAGUCAAAGAAGCAGGACCAACAGGAAAUACAUAUGUUUAUGUAUGUA
Molecule: long non-coding RNA, 664 nt
Organism: Homo sapiens (human)
Lineage: Eukaryota; Metazoa; Chordata; Mammalia; Primates; Hominidae
Product: long intergenic non-protein coding RNA 539
Source: Ensembl